AUUCCUUCCCAGGUGUGAUAAUUUAUGAGAAUGACCUGCAUAACUGAGGAAAGCUCUGUACUGAUGACCGCUGUUUUAUUAUGGAGAGCACAAAUGAACAGCCAGGGUAGUGAUAUGUAGCUGUAGCACUGUGCGUUCUCUCAAUGCUGAGCUGCAGCUCCCAGUCAACCACUGGAUCAUGAGGGUAAAAUACUGAUACUUGACAUCUUCUUAAAGAACAUCAUGCCUGCUAAACCAUCCAGUGUGGAUGCCCCAGUGCCUUCCAUGAGCCAUUCUCAAGCCUCAUUAGAAAAGAGAGAUUGGCAACCCUGUAGCUGCAGUAUCCCAUCAUCCUGCAUCUUAGUUCAAUGCUUCAAACAUUCUUCAGGCCAAGUGUGCUUUCAGCUGUGUAUGUUAAUGGUCCCACUUCCAAUGCUGGGAGUCACAUUUCAACAUGAGAUUUGGACAGGACAGACGAUCCAAACCAUCUCGAAGUCCCAUGGUGAAUGGAGGAGCAUCUGAACUGAGACUUGCUAUGGAAUUCAAAUAAAGAGAUUGCCACAUUUU
Molecule: long non-coding RNA, 546 nt
Organism: Rhinopithecus roxellana (golden snub-nosed monkey)
Lineage: Eukaryota; Metazoa; Chordata; Mammalia; Primates; Cercopithecidae
Exons: 3
Source: RefSeq, a predicted model, not a curated record